CUGGGUUCUGCAAUAUUGAUUUGAAUGGAUGGAAGGGAAGAAAAACCUAGUGGCCUAUGAAUAAGUAAGUAAUGGAUAAUAUGGGCUAAAUCAAAAGCCAUUCAAACUGAAUAGGAUAUGUGUUCUCAAUGAUGCAGAGGUCCAGUGCGUCUUUCUCUCUACAUGAGGGCUCAGCAAAGUGUGGUACUGAACAGCACUGUCAAGCCUCCUCAUGUCACAUCUCUAAUAUCCGCCAACUAUAAAGCAAAGAAUAAAGACGGGGCUGCGAGAAAAAAUCAAAAAAAGAUGUCAAAUCUUUGCUGAAUUAAUCUCAUUUAAAGAACUAAACCCUUUUGCUACAUUAUGUAAAAUAUUCAGGGUUGUUUUACAUCAGAGCAGCUAGGCAGGAUUGUUGAGAACGGGGUUUUGACGGACAGAGCGACGAACCAAUGUUUUGCAGUGAUCGUACCACUACUACAGCUUAUUAGAUUGCUGCAAAGACUGUGUUGUAUGACUUUUAAAAUCUUAAUUACACAUUUCCUCUGAAGGCUUCAGUUCUUUUUUGAAUAAACAACACGUAAUCAUCAGGGGUUUUAAUUUACCCAGCAGGAGGAGCUGUGCUAAAUACCAUCUAUCUGAAAGAAGCACCCCCUCCAAAAACCUUGACUAGUUUCCUUUUUUUUCUGUUUUUUCUCUGCUCCUCUUCCUCUGCAGGAAACAGCUCUGGAGCGCUGGGCCCCGCCAGGCCCCGGCUAGCUGUGAUGCGUGUUCAACACGACAACACUGCUGUUCAGACAGACACGGCUGAAGACGCUCGGUUGAUAGUGUGGCAUCAUUUACACAAGCUCCCGCACACCGUCCCUCUGUUGUCCCCUCCAUUCUGCACCUUUUCAGCAGCCCCCCUCCCUCUCUUUGUCACUCCGACCCCACAACCCUAAAUCCCCCCAGCACACGGCGACAUGGCAGACAGGCCGCCACGCAGAC
Molecule: non-coding RNA, 963 nt
Organism: Xyrichtys novacula (pearly razorfish)
Lineage: Eukaryota; Metazoa; Chordata; Actinopteri; Labriformes; Labridae
Source: the annotation of a GenBank genome assembly